Molecule: transfer RNA, 73 nt
Filed under: Sus scrofa (pig)
Lineage: Eukaryota; Metazoa; Chordata; Mammalia; Artiodactyla; Suidae
Rfam family: tRNA
About the family: Transfer RNA (tRNA) molecules are approximately 80 nucleotides in length. Their secondary structure includes four short double-helical elements and three loops (D, anti-codon, and T loops).
Source: Rfam by way of RNAcentral
UCCCUGGUUUCCUACUGGUUAAGGAUUUGGCAUUGUCACUGCUGUGUCUCAGGUUCGAGCCCUGGCCUGGGAA